GGGCCUUGUACACACCGCCCGUCACACCAUGGAAGUUGGCCAUGCCCGAAGUCGUUACUCCAACCCUUGUGGAGGAGGACGCCGAAGGUGGGGCUAAUGACUGGGGUGAAGUCGUAACAAGGUAGCCGUACCGGAAGGUGCGGCUGGAUCACCUCCUAA
This 159-nucleotide ribosomal RNA is filed under the name uncultured cyanobacterium. RNAcentral's name for it is "partial 16S ribosomal RNA". It matches the Rfam family "Bacterial small subunit ribosomal RNA", at positions 1376 to 1533 of the family's 1533-position model. The record is from RNAcentral. Lineage: Bacteria; Bacillati; Cyanobacteriota.